AAGAUCUUAAGUUAAAACAAACUAUAAGCCUUCAAAGCUUGAAAUAAAAAAUUAUUUUUUAGAUCUUG
This 68-nucleotide transfer RNA is filed under the name Tibia fusus. RNAcentral describes it as "tRNA-Trp". Lineage: Eukaryota; Metazoa; Mollusca; Gastropoda; Littorinimorpha; Rostellariidae. The record is from RNAcentral.